UAGGGAAUCUUCGGCAAUGGGGGCAACCCUGACCGAGCAACGCCGCGUGAGUGAAGAAGGUUUUCGGAUCGUAAAGCUCUGUUGUAAGUCAAGAACGAGUGUGAGAGUGGAAAGUUCACACUGUGACGGUAGCUUACCAAAAAGGGACGGCUAACUACGUGCCAGCAGCCGCGGUAAUACGUAGGUCCCGAGCGUUGUCCGGAUUUAUUGGGCGUAAAGCGAGCGCAGGCGGUUUGAUAAGUCUGAAGUUAAAGGCUGUGGCUCAACCAUAAUUCGCUUUGGAAACUGUCAAACUUGAGUGCAGAAGGGGAGAGUGGAAUUCCAUGUGUAGCGGUGAAAUGCGUAGAUAUAUGGAGGAACACCGGUGGCGAAAGCGGCUCUCUGGUCUGUAACUGACGCUGAGGCUCGAAAGCGUGGGGAGCGAACAGGAUUAGAUACCCUGGUAGUCCACGCCGUAAACGAUGAGUGCUAGGUGUUGGAUCCUUUCCGGGAUUCAGUGCCGCAGCUAACGCAUUAAGCACUCCGCCUGGGGAGUACGACCGCAAGGUUG
This 550-nucleotide ribosomal RNA is filed under the name uncultured bacterium. Its description in RNAcentral is "bacterial SSU rRNA". It matches the Rfam family "Bacterial small subunit ribosomal RNA", at positions 355 to 896 of the family's 1533-position model. The record is from RNAcentral.